ACCCGCUGAACUUAAGCAUAUUACUAAGCGGAGGAAAAGAAAUCAACGAAGAUUGCCUCAGUAGCGGCGAGUGAAGCGAGCAAUAGCUCAAGUUUAGAAUCUGUGGCUGUAUCAGUCACCGAAUUGUAAUCUAAAGGGGUAAGCAAAAGGGGAAAUCGAGGUAUAAGUUCCUUGGAACAGGACAUCAUAGAGGGUGAAAAUCCCGUAUGUAACCUCUGUUGAACCGAAUGUUUUCCUUCUAAGAGUCGGGUUGUUUGGGAUUGCAGCCCUAAAUGGGAGAUAAACUUCUUCUAAGGCUAAAUAUCUAUGGGAAACCGAUAGCGAACAAGUACUGUGAAGGAAAGGUGAAAAGAACUUUGAAAAGAGGGUUAAAAGAUUUGAAAUCGUUGAGAAGGAAGCAGUAGAAGUAGAUUUAUAUUAGCUAUGAAGUAAACCUCGUGAGGCACCAGCUCGUAGUAGUUUCGGUACGUCAUUGGCUACCUGCUACGAUGUAAUGGCACUCUGAGGUGUUUUCAUAGCUAAAGAGCAGUUGCAGGUCUUAUCCUGUU
RNAcentral lists this ribosomal RNA (548 nucleotides) under uncultured fungus. Its description in RNAcentral is "eukaryotic LSU rRNA". It matches the Rfam family "Eukaryotic large subunit ribosomal RNA", at positions 23 to 518 of the family's 3401-position model. The record is from RNAcentral. Lineage: Eukaryota; Fungi.